ACACCUUCCCCCCCUCCAAAAAAACCCACCCAGCUACAACCACGGGACAGAACCAGGGGGGCCGGGACAUCCCCGAGGCGAAGGCCGGAAGCUGGAGAGGGGCCGGGCUCCCGCAAGGAGUUGGAGACGGGAGCUGCUCGCAACACGAAUGAACACCCGCCCACCCCCAUCUCGCCAGGCCCGGCAGUAGCAAGUUUUUUCCACGGAAGCGCUGCCUGCCCCGCCAAUCCGGGCCCUGCGGGGCAGGGGGACCCCGGCUGCGGCUUUAAAAGCGGAGCCCUUUGUGCGCCGGGCUCCGGAUCGGGAUGUGCUGUGCCGUGCCGGGAUGUGCCGUGCCGUGCCGGGAUGUGCCGUGCCACCGGCAGCCGCCACCGCCGCCAGGAAGAGCCUUGGACCACGCUGCACCAGCAGCCCCGGGACCCGAGCAUCCCCCUCGGCAGGUAUUUCAUCCCCCUCCCCUGCACCCCAAUAAACGUGUGGCAGGCCGGCUUGCCCCGCUCGCCGUUUUGCCGGGUCUGGGGUGGUUGCCUUUUAUUA
Molecule: long non-coding RNA, 537 nt
Organism: Pipra filicauda (Wire-tailed manakin)
Lineage: Eukaryota; Metazoa; Chordata; Aves; Passeriformes; Pipridae
Exons: 2
Source: RefSeq, a predicted model, not a curated record